This 253-nucleotide ribosomal RNA is filed under the name uncultured bacterium. Its description in RNAcentral is "partial 16S ribosomal RNA". It matches the Rfam family "Bacterial small subunit ribosomal RNA", at positions 524 to 776 of the family's 1533-position model. The record is from RNAcentral.
UACGGAGGGUGCGAGCGUUGUCCGGAAUUAUUGGGCGUAAAGCGUGUGUAGGCGGCCAUGUAAGUCGGGUGUGAAAGCCCUGGGCUUAACCCAGGAAGUGCACUCGAUACUGCGUGGCUUGAGUAUCGGAGAGGUUGGUGGAAUUCUCGGUGUAGAGGUGAAAUUCGUAGAUAUCGAGAGGAACACCGGUGGCGAAGGCGGCCAACUGGACGAAUACUGACGCUGAGACACGAAAGCGUGGGGAGCAAACAGG